AGCGAACGCUGGCGGCAGGCUUAACACAUGCAAGUCGAGCGGGCAUCCUUGUGGUGUCAGCGGCAGACGGGUGAGUAACGCGUGGGAACGUGCCCUUCGGUUCGGAAUAACUCAGGGAAACUUGAGCUAAUACCGGAUACGCCCUUUUGGGGAAAGGUUUACUGCCGAAGGAUCGGCCCGCGUCUGAUUAGCUAGUUGGUGAGGUUAUGGCUCACCAAGGCGACGAUCAGUAGCUGGUCUGAGAGGAUGAUCAGCCACACUGGGACUGAGACACGGCCCAGACCCAGACGGGAGGAAGCGGUGGGGGAUAUGGGAGAAUGGGUGAAAGGUGGAUACAUCCAUGCCGCGGGAAAGAAGAAGGCGUUAGGGGGGUAAAACGCUCUGCACAGGGACGAUAAUGAAGGGACGGGAGGAAUAAGACGAGGAUAAGUUCGAG
This 436-nucleotide ribosomal RNA is filed under the name uncultured bacterium. RNAcentral describes it as "partial 16S ribosomal RNA". It matches the Rfam family "Bacterial small subunit ribosomal RNA", at positions 30 to 507 of the family's 1533-position model. The record is from RNAcentral.